GAUGAACGCUGGCGGCGUGCCUAAUACAUGCAAGUCGAGCGAACGGACGAGAAGCUUGCUUCUCUGAUGUUAGCGGCGGACGGGUGAGUAACACGUGGAUAACCUACCUAUAAGACUGGGAUAACUUCGGGAAACCGGAGCUAAUACCGGAUAAUAUUUUGAACCGCAUGGUUCAAAAGUGAAAGACGGUCUUGCUGUCACUUAUAGAUGGAUCCGCGCUGCAUUAGCUAGUUGGUAAGGUAACGGCUUACCAAGGCAACGAUGCAUAUCCGACCUGAGAGGGUGAUCGGCCACACUGGAACUGAGACACGGUCCAGACUCCUACGGGAGGCAGCAGUAGGGAAUCCUCCGCAAUGGGCGAAAGCCUGACGGAGCAACGCCGCGUGAGUGAUGAAGGUCUUCGGAUCGUAAAACUCUGUUAUUAGGGAAGAACAUAUGUGUAAGUAACUGUGCACAUCUUGACGGUACCUAAUCAGAAAGCCACGGCUAACUACGUG
RNAcentral lists this ribosomal RNA (497 nucleotides) under uncultured bacterium. Its description in RNAcentral is "partial 16S ribosomal RNA". It matches the Rfam family "Bacterial small subunit ribosomal RNA", at positions 28 to 507 of the family's 1533-position model. The record is from RNAcentral.